Molecule: ribosomal RNA, 492 nt
Filed under: uncultured bacterium
Lineage: Bacteria
Description: partial 16S ribosomal RNA
Rfam family: Bacterial small subunit ribosomal RNA
Source: RNAcentral
AGUGAACGCUGGCGGUAGGCCUAACACAUGCAAGUCGAACGGCAGCACAGUAAGAGCUUGCUCUUACGGGUGGCGAGUGGCGGACGGGUGAGGAAUACAUCGGAAUCUACUUUUUCGUGGGGGAUAACGUAGGGAAACUUACGCUAAUACCGCAUCCGACCUACGGGUGAAAGCAGUGGAUCUUCGGACCUUGCGCGAUUGAAUGAGCCGAUGUCGGAUUAGCUAGUUGGCGGGGUAAAGGCCCACCAAGGCGACGAUCCGUAGCUGGUCUGAGAGGAUGAUCAGCCACACUGGAACUGAGACACGGUCCAGACUCCUACGGGAGGCAGCAGUGGGGAAUAUUGGACAAUGGGCGCGAGCCUGAUCCAGCCAUACCGCGUGGGUGAAGAAGGCCUUCGGGUUGUAAAGCCCUUUUGUUGGGAAAGAAAAGCAGCAGGUUAAGACCCCGCUGUUCUGACGGUACCCAAAGAAUAAGCACCGGCUAACUUCGUG